UAAAGUGGUCCGUUGGCUUUGUUAGGACCUUCAUACUCCCCAGAUUGCAACCCAGUUGAUCAGAGGGGAGCCUCUUCUCACUCUUCCAAAAUUUCACCCUUCUGUUUCCUUUUUCCUCUCAAAAGAUCUAUUGCCAUUCCUCGGAGUGGACCCUUUUGGCCAUUUCUUGAGUCAGUUAGCCUCGUUGGCUGUCCGAUCUUCUCUCCUCCUCCAUUUUUCCCACGGCGAACUCCGGCACUUCCCCUACCAGGUAAGCUUGCUCCCUUAAUUUUAAUCCUCCCAUCGCUAAAACAUGCGCUUGGUCGUUCCUCUCCCUUGUGUGGGAGAACAAACGGGUUGGAAAUCAUCUUUUAACGAUUUUACAUUUUCAAUGAAAGCACUUAUAUAUAAUAGGCUAUAUUUUGUUUUCUUUAAUUUUUGCAGUUAUAUUUUGAAAUUGUAUAAUUUGCCAUUCAAUUAUUAGUGUGAUUGAAUUUUACCACUAAACUUUAAUUUUUUUUAAAAGAAUUUCCAUAAACUUUGAUUUUUAGUUAAAAAUUUAGCACUUAAUAUUAAUUUUGAUGAAAAAAAAUUGAACUUUAACUACUAAUCAAAAGUUACUUAAAGUUCAUACUUUUAUGUAUUAUAGAUAGAUAAGUCAUAAAUAUUUAAUUUAAUCAAGUUACAUAUUCAACUUUAACUACUAAUAAAUUAAGCCAUUUAUACUAACAUUGUAACACUCUCGACUCGAUUUGAUUGGUUGGAUCCAGAUCUUAGGUAUUAUCAAGUUAAUACAAAUAAAAACUCAAUCUACUUUUACAAAUUACGAUCACUUACGUCUUACUUAAUCACAAAAUUUCUAAUUUGAAUAGAUAAACAUGUACAAGUAAAUAUAAUUACAUCACGUGGUAAUUAAAAUACAACAAUAUUUAAUUUGAAACUCUAAUACAAUACAGAUGCCCCAAAUAGGGACUUCUAAGUAAUAAUUCAGUCUUGGAAUACAUCGCCAAUCUUGCUCUGUAUACACAAUAACCUGAUAUUUCACUUUUAGGGAUAGUCCUAACAUCGUCCCUCUUGACGUAGACUUACGUCAUCUCACUUAUAACAUAAUACAUACAGAUAAGUUUAUAAGAAUUUAGUAAGGAAAAUAUAAUUUACAUGAGUCAUAUUUGCACAUUGCAAUUGAUAGUUUAGAUAGAUGAUACCAUCGUCCUUAAACAUUCAACUUUGUCUCUGAUGAAUACUUCCUCAAGUUUUGUUUCCAUAUUCACAUCAGAUAUCAUACCUUACUUUGAAAUCACUUCUUCUUAUCGAAGUAUUCAAUACAUCAUUUACUUCUUUCAAUCAAAACAAUCAUAAAUCUUUAUCCAUUUUCUUUUCAGAGAUCAAUACAAUCAGUAACAACAUUACGCUUGCAAACUUACUUCUGAGCCAUCAAAUCAUCACAAUUCAAAAGAAUGUGUGCACAGACGAUAGAUACCUCCUUCAAACAUACAAAUUUUACAGUCUUAUUUUUAGACGAGUCAUAGCCUUAUAUAACUCGUUUUUACUGUACUAACCAUAUAGACAUAAAACCUUUCUAAUCUUACUGAUUUCACUUAAGAGUCAUGUUGAAUGCGCCUAAUCGAUUUAUUAUAGAACCUGCCACAAGAACAUUCUUUCCGAUAUGUCACCAAGGACUUUAUUUUGACGUAUCAUAUGGACAUUUCUUUCAGAGUUCGUCAUGAAUGAUACUUUUUCAUAUUGCGCUACGAAGGCGCUCCUUUAGGGUUUGCCAUAAGGGUAUUUUCUUCCUAAUGUGUUUGUGAUAUGAAUUUGCCUAGACUCACAUUUCGUGAGAUUUGCUUGUCAUUAUCCUAAGACAUGCAGAAAAAAUCCAUUAGGCUAUAGCCAUGACCAUGGACUUUCCAUUCAGGGUUCUUAUUUAAAGUCCCGGCGAACCCUUUUGAACAUCACCGCGAUGAACAGACAUAAACUCUUCAUGCCCUUAUACAAUUUAAACCUAACCUUUUAUUCCACCAACAUAUAACCACAUACAUUCCCGACUCAUAAUACAAAUUCUAGGCAUACAUAUAACCAUACCUCAGCAUUACAUUAUUUAAUCACCAUUCAUCAUAUGCUUGAACUUAUCAUAUUCCAUACCAAUUAUACAUGCCAUCCUCAAUGAACAAUCAUACAUUCAUAGAUCUCAUUUAGUAAUUACUCAUAUAGUUACAUACAUAUCAUAUCGUACCUUUCGUGAUCUCGGCUUCAUAUUUCAUUUAGUAUGCCACAGAUCUAUUUGCAUGAAUAGUACAUAUGCAAAAGUCAGCAAAGAGGCUCACCUGACAAUCUCACAUAGCAGCUUAAAUUCUAGAUCCAACAAGAGAUUACAAUAACCACUACUUAUAAAACAAAAGAACACCAUUAAAACUCGUUUUAACCUCUACCGUCAUCUUAAACCUAGAUAACCCACAUAUAAAGCCUUACUUCUUUAUUUAACUAUUCAUGCACUUAUUCAAACUUAAUCUUUCAUAACUUUAACAUGUAGAGUUACAAUAUUUACCUUGACAUGUAGUAGUCACUAACAAAAAUCUAGAUUUACAACUCCAAUUUAUAGGAGAAAAAAAUACUUUCUGGUUUCUCCAGUAUCAGAUAACAAUACUUUAGAAGAAAGAAGGAAAAUUUUUUCUUUCUCUACCCUUAAUAUCGACAUAUUUAACCUAAGUCCUUAUUGGAACUUGACAUGUGUCACAACUCGUAAGAUUGUUUUUAUAAAUGGCUUACAGUUGUAGAGAGAACCUAAAUAAAAAUCCAAUAAAUUAUAUAUUUGGUUCUUCGGUUCUAUCCAUUUCUAUCCAAAUGGUUUUUAACGUAACUGGCACAGUAACUCAAUGAACUUGGCAUAUAAUACCUUCGACAAUAACUCCAACUUACAAAAUUCUCAAUACUCUUACCAAACUCCCUUUCCUUACAGCACAACACAUUCUAAGUUCGAUCCGUAUAUAAUAUUCCAAUAUCUGCUAUGCACUCAAAUUGUACACCAAAACAAUAAUUGGGCAGAUAGGCUACGCCUCACAAAUUACUCUCAGUCUACUCGCCAGAACUUAAAACCCAUCAAAACUAGGUGUUACAAACGCCGUCGAGUUAUUUUAAUGGAAAAAUUGAGUUAUCACUUCUAUUUAGCAAUUUUUUUCAAAUAAGCAAAUAAUAUAUAUUGUUAUUUUAAAUAAAUUUGUCUAAGCUUUUUUCCAAACAUAAAUUACUAGAGAAAUAAAAUUUAGUUUUGCAAUUCUGUAAGAAUGAAACCUUAAUCAAUUGAAUCAAUUUUUUUGAAUUUUUUUCUCAUUCUUCAUCAUUCAUUUUCAACCAUUAAAGAUUUGCAAUUGUUCCUUUAAACUUUCAUAAUCGAUCAUGGAGGUUUUUAUUCCUUGAUAUAGAGGUAGGGAUCAACAUUGAAAAGUCCUCGAGUUGCAGAUUUGACGUAGGGCUUUAGACUAAAUUGAAGGGAAUUGGCAUGUAAGCAACCUAAAACACAUAAGAAAUGUAACAACUCGAUAGGCAGGGGUGUUGAAAAGUGUAUAUCCGGGACUCUGUUCAUGUAAACCAGACUCGAAGUUAAUUAUUUAGUUAAUUAAAUUUUGGAUAGAUAAUUUACAUGAAUUAGGAGCUAUUAUGGUUUAAGGACUAAAUUGCGUAAAAGUAAAAAAUUCAAUUAUAAAUUGAAAUAAACUAAAGGGGCUAAAGUAAUAAUUAUGUAAUUUAAUAAAUGGUUGUGUAUAGGUGCCCGGUCAAGGGUUAAGUGUAAUGUGCUUUUAUAUAUUAUAUAUAUGUUAUAUAUUAAGUUAGAAUAAUAAUAGUAAUAAAUAAAAUGAAAACAAAAUUAAAAGAAAAAAGUGAAGUAGAAUGAGAGAGCACAUGCAAAUUAAAAGAAAAGAAAAGAAAGAACCAAAAGAGGCCGACGAUACUAAGGGCUUCAAACUUUCAAAUUUUAAUUGGUUAGUCAAUUUAGCCCCAUUUUCUUAUAAUUUUCAUAUUUUUGGAAUCACAGUACCUAGGUUCUAAUUUUUAGUAUUGUUUAAGAUUUUAGAUGUUGCUAUUGUUGAAUAGUUUAAGUAUUAGGAAUUAAAUAGAUAGAUUUUUAAGCUAGAAGUGGAAAAUGACUAAAUUGUGAAAUUAAUAGUUGAUUUUGAGUAAUAGGGACUAAAUUGAGAAAAUUUUGAAAUUGAAGGGUUGAAUUAGAAAAUGAGCUAAAUUUAGUUUAAAGUGAAAUUAGUAUAAAAAUAUAAAGUUAAAUGUGAAGGUUAAAAAUUAGUCUCGAUUUAGGGACUAAAUUGAAGUUUAAGCAAAUAAAGUGUAAAAUUUUAAUUUUAAUGUAAAAUUAAAUUAUGUAAUAUUAAUAUAUUUUAAUUGUUUUAUUCCGUAGCUAACGUCGUACCGGAAUCCUUGAGUAAAAAGGAGAAGGAUAAAAUUGACGUCGAAUAGCUCAGAAUUUACGGUUUGUGUGUUCUAUAAUCCUAAUUAAAUAACAGAUUGUUGUAUAAUUAAUUGUUUGCAUAUGGUAAGCAUUUGUGGUGGGUACUUUGGUACUUUUGGAUUAAAUUGAAUUCAUAGUAAAUUUGAAAGGGAUUCAUUUUGUGUAUUAUGAAAUAUGUUGAUUAUAUGAAUAUUGAAUUGACUAUAUGUGAUAGUGUAUAUAUGUGAAACUGAGACAUUAGUUGUAUUGAAAAGUGAAAUAAAACUCUAUUAACUGUAUCGGGCUGAGUUGGAUAUAGAUGGCAUGCCAUAGGAUAGGAAGAGUUCAAGGAUUUCUCUUAAGUCGAUGAGGCACUGGGUGCCAAUUUACUUUGGUUUAACUGAUGAGACAUUGGAUGUCAAUUUAUAUAGCACUGGGUACAGUUAUUAUUUUGGAAUUAACUAGACACUAGGUGCCAAAUUGGUGUGUUGGUUGGAUCUGUGUAUCUAUCCGAGUCUGAGUCAUGUUAAUAGGGAAAAUUAAAUAAUAAAUUUAUAUGUUUGAUAUUGAGAUGACCAUGUUGAGAAAUGAAUAUGAGAUGAGAAAAAGAAAUAUGAAAUAAUGAAAUGUGAUGUGAAUCUUGAAAUGAAUUCAAGUAUCAAAAUGAUUAAUCAUGCCAUUGAAUGAGUUGGACUACUAAAUGCUAUAUAUAUGAAAUAUCACUGAUAUGUGCUUGAACAUAUGAAAUAUUAUUACCAUGUGCUAAAUUUUGUGAACUCUAUUGAAUGUGAAUAAAGAAUGAGUAAGUUGGCAUUAUUGAUUUGAUACAUAUGUUUUAUAACAUUACUUAUUGCAUUUUUAUAUCUUAUCUAUCCAUAUCAAGUUUAAAUUAUUCGGAUUAUAGAAAUACCACUAAGUUAUACUCAGUGUGCGGUUUUGUUUUCUGUACGCAAGCUAGGUACUUUUCAACAUAUCGCAGACUCAGCAUCAAACAAUAAAUCCCGAGCUCAAGUGUGGUUAUAUCUUAUUUUGAAAUGGCAUGUACCGAGGAAGUCUUUGGUUGAUAGUUGGUUUGUCAAUGUCAUGUUAUUUUGUUUUAAGGUGAAUUGAUGGUUACUUAUAUAAUUGUGGUUUAAGCUAUGUUUUUGUAUGUAGUCUAAUUAAUGUGUUGGUAUGUGUUGUAGUUUAAAACUUGGUAGCCUAAGUAGUUAAAGGUUAGUUCAAUAUUAGUUAAUUUGAUAUGAAUGAAAGUCUUUGAAUGGUUGAUGUGUUUGAUGAUAUAAAAUGUAGCACCAAUGAGGGUACAUUGGCUAGACACUUAAGGUGGUUUAUUUGGUUUGUUUUAAGCAUGCUUAAUCGUGUUUUGAACAAGUUAAAUGACUGUUAAUUAAGUUUCUUAGUGUCUAAGUAAGUAGGAAAUGGUAAACUUGAGUUUUAAGGUACUUAUAGGUGCAUAUGGCCUAAACACGGUCUGUCACACGAUCGUGUUGAAAAAUAGUAUAGGUGUAGUUUCCACACGGGCUGACACACGGCUUGGGACACGGUUGUGUAACCCAAGUCAGUGAGUUACACAGGCAGAAACACGGGCUGGGACACAACCAUGUGUUUCAAGUUAGUGAGUUACAUGGACUAGGACACAGCCCGUGUCUCAACUUCGAGAGCCACACGGUCUGGGGCAUUUUACACGGCUGUGUGUCCCCUUUUUUAAGUAUUUUCAAAAAUUUCCUAAACUUUCAGAAUUGAUCCAAAUUAGUCCCUACUUAUUUUUAGACUAUUCUUAAGGUCUCGUAGACUCGAUACAAGGACUGUAAGAGUAAUUUUUACUUUGAAUUGGAAUGAAUUAGUAAACCUGAAUUAAGUGCAUUAUACUAAUAUCAUCGAAGGUAAUAAUAGCCGUAAUAUGGACCAAUACUCUGAUGCUAAUAAUUAGAAUUGUCUUAUUAUGUAUCCGACUUCUAGCAUUCAAGAAGGGAUAAAUAGUGAUAAGAGUGUAGACAGUGAAAGACCAAAUUUAGCAUUGCAUAGUAUGAUAUACUAUUCGAUUAUAUAAGACACUACUAUGCAUUUAGAUUGACAUGAUCUACCCUUGUAUAUUAUGGCGACAUUAGUUAGCUUAUACUACUACUUGUGAUGUAACUAAAUGUUUUGAUUGGUUAGUAAUGUAACAUCCCGAAUUAGGGCCUAGUCGGAACAGUGGUUUUGUGACCACAAAUCCGAGAUGAUAAUAAUUAUUUUAUUAUUAUUAUGAGGUCUAUGAUAUGUCUCUAUGCUUGUGUGAAAAUUUCAUGAAGAAAUUUUAUGUGAAAAGUGCUUAAUUAGACUUUAAGGACUAAAUCAAAUAAUUUGUAAAACUCGUGUUCUAGAAGCAAUUUGCAUGAAAUUGAAUUAGAUUAUUAAUUAGAGGUCCUUAAAGAGCAAUUUGACCAAGUUUUAAAAAUUUGGACAAAAAUGGCUUGGAAGGGUAAAAUUUGAAAGAAUGGUAAAAAGGGCAUUUUGGUCAUUUAGGGGUAAAAUGAAUUAAAAGACAAAAAUUAAAAGCCAAAUGUGUCCAUCUUCCUCCUAUGGUAGUGUGAAUCAAGAGGGGAGCCAUGGCUAGGGUUUUCAAGCUUCCAAGCUCAAUAGUAAGUGAUCCUGAGCCCCUUUUUAACGUUCUAUGUAUUUUUAAAUCCCGAUAACAUGCUCUACUCAUUUCUACCAUUAUUUUGAGCUAGGGUUUAUAUUUAAAAAUUUACCCAUGCAUGACAUGCUAGUAUUUUGAUGUUUAAUGGUAGAAUAUGAAAGAUUAGAGUAUAUUUAACACCUUUUACUAAGUGAUUUUUCAUGAAAAAGCCUAAAAAGGACUAAAUUGAAAAAGGUGUAAAAUAGGUAACUAAAAAUCUGUUUUAAUGAGAAAUGUGGGCUGCCAUAAGCUUGACUAUGGUUCGGCUAGGCUUGGGUAAUCAAGAAAUUGAACAUUUUACGAGCCUAGAGACUAAAUUGAAAAUAUGUGAAAAAUUAGAGGUAAAAUUAUAAAUUUUCCAAAAUAUGAUUUUGGGCCAAUUUUAAUAAUGUGAGUCCUAAAUAGGCUAUAAUUGAAAUGAUAGAUAAAGGAAAUCGAGAUUCGGACUUAAAUCGAGAAAAUACAAGUUUUGGACUAAAAUGAUAAUUUUGCCAUUUCCAUAUUCGAGGUAAGUUUGCGUGAUUUAACGAGCAUAUUAUUCAUGUUAUUAUUUUUAUACAUGAAAUAUAUUUUGCUAUGAUUGUAUUGAAUUUGAUAUUAAUGGAAAUUUGAUGAAAAUUGACAUUUUAAAUGAAAUGAAUAAUUUUCUAUGAAAACUAGGUGAUAUGUUAUUUUUAUUGUAUGGAUUAAUGCUCAAAUAAACAUUAAAGUGUGUAUUCAUGCAUGAAUUAUAAUGUUAAUAGUCAUUGUGAAAUAUUACAUGGGAAAGGUUGUACUAAUGAAAAGUUGAUAAAGUGUCCCGGUUGAAUAAAAAGGGAUAUCCGAUGGAUAUAUCAUUUCUUACAUGAUAUGAGAUCCUGCAUGUGUUGCAGUCAAGGAUUUAGACCAGACAGGUAAUUCAUAUAUCUCAGUAUAGAAAGGAUCUAGCCCGGACAGGUGUUCUUUGAAUAAUCGAGCCUCCCGAAGAAUAUGUGUGCAUUAUGGAUUUAGCCCGGACGGGUAAUCUGAUAGAGGACUGAAUUUAGCCUAGAUUGACAAUUCAGAUCCGAGCUUAUGAGAGCAAUUAUCGUUGAAAGGGAUUUUUCCUGGAGUGGUAAUCCCGACAUUGCUCUAUGAAUUUAUUCUACGGGGGAUUUAGCAUGAACUGGUAAUCCCGCAGUAAGAUGUAAGGUUCGCAGGAGUGCGUAUUGAGAUGAUCACUUGUAUGAAUUGACGGUAAAUGGGCUAUCCAUCGAGAUCCCCGAGAGAUUCAAUGGGAUUAACAUGAGAAAUAAAAAUGGUUGUCAUCUAUGCUUAGAUGAAACUAGUAUGAUGCAUAUGAUUGUCAUGUUUGGAUGAGUGGUUGUGCUAAGAGAUAACACAGGUACAUACUCGAAACCCAUGAACAUGUGUUUGACAUGUGAAAUGAAAAGGACUUGUGGUAAGAAUGCAAAUAGAUGAAUGAUAUAUAUGAGAAUAAUAUUUUAUGGCAAUCUUAUGAUGAACAUCAUUUUGUUGCUCUAAAACUAUUUGGACAACAGCAAUAAUCCAACUUUGAAAAUCCACUAAAAAUUGUGGAAGUCGAAUUAAAUUCUGAAUUAAAUAUGAAAUGAAAGCUUAUUGAGUCUAGUUUCACAUAAAAGAAAUGAUAUAAGAAAAAGAAUUUAAUAUUAUGAGAUAUUCGAAUUCUUGUGAGAUAUAGUCAUAAUGAGUUCGAAAUCCCUAUUCUGACUUGGGAAAAUCACUAUAAAUUGUACAAAAAUAAUUAUGGGUUAGAAUUCAUAUGACUAAUUCCUACAGACAUGAACACUAUCCGAAUCUCAUACUAAGAGAUAAUUAAGUUUUAGUGAAGAGAGGUCGGAACUAUCGGAUAGCGAAACAAGGGAGACUUUAAAGAAUAAAUGGUACUUAUUGGAUAGACCAAAAAUUUUGAAAAUUUUAUGAUAAAAAUAUAUGUGAGUCUAGUUUCUAGAAAAAUUAACGGAUCUUAAUUUGGAGUUCCGUAGCUCCAGAUACAAAUGAUUUAGUGACUAUGACUCAAGAAAACAGCUUGACUGGAUUUUAAUAAAUAGAGAGAAAUUGGAAUAGCAUAUUAAUUCCUUGCUUAUUAUUUUCAUGCGAGCUUACUAAGCUUAAAGCUUACUCCCUCCUUUCCAUUUCUUUUAGUGUUUUUAGGUCAGCUUGGGGCUGGAGAACGUUGGAGGCAACAUCACACUACCAAGCUAUCACCUUGGGAUAUUGAUACAUAGGUUGAGAAGUUUCAAGUGAGUGGCAUAGGAAUUAGUUUUUAUGAUAUGUGUUCUAUGAUUUGGCCAAAUGUAUUGGCUUAUUUUGAUUUAUUUGUACAUGGCCAUAGGGUAUGGCUCAUAUUGAGUAUGAUUUGUAAAUCUAUCUAUCCAUGCUAUGUUAUAAUGUUUGUGAUGAAAUGAUGUGAGUAUGAUGGUUAGCCAUGCAUGAAUGGUGCUGUGAAAUGCAUGUGUGAUGAAUGCUUCAUGACCAUUCGAAGUGGUCAUGACCAUGGUUAAUUAUAAUAGAGCAAGUAAGAUAAUAAUGCAUUGAACGUGAAUGCUGGAUGGAUAAGUUGAUAAUCAUGGUAUAAGAGAAUAACUGGUAAAGUAUUUGACUUGGUCAAAUAAAUGAGAUUUGGUAUGCCUAGAAUCAGUAUAACGUGAGGAUAUGUAAAAUGUGUAUAAUGCCUCGAAAAUGUCAUGUUGUGUCUUAAUAAAGAGUGUUUUAAUCAUUAAAAUGUUGCUAUGAAUUGUGAUUAUGACGUGUAUAUAGAUGUAAGGGAUUGUAGGUAACAUGAAGGCUUGGAAAAUAGCCUAAGUGUUGGCCACACGGCUGAGACACGGCCAUGUGUCUCAUCCGUGUGAGGGACAUGGCCUGGUGAUACGGGCGUGUGGCCUAGCCAUGCGGUUCAAAUUGUGUGCUAACGUCAUAAACAGAGAGUUACACGGCUUGAGGACACGGGCUUGUCCUUGUGUCCACACGGGCGUGUGACCCUGUUUUAUGAGAAAGAUUUCUAUGUUUUCCAGAACUUUCCAAAGUUCUCGAUAUAGUUCCGGACCAUUUUAAAUGCAUGUCAUGGUCCUCGUAGACCCAUAAUAGGGACACUAUGAAUAUCUUCGAUUGGUUUUAAUUUGGAACAAAAUUUUAUGGCUCGGAUUGUAUGAUCAUUUGCGUUUAAGUCCGGUAAUGCCUCGUAUCCUAUCUUAGCGUUGGACAUGGGUAGAGGUUGUUACAAGUAAUGCUUGUGACCCUAAUCUGACGAAAGAGAGGGGUUAGGUGUGACAGCCCUAAAGUGACCCUAGUCGGGAAGUGGUUUCGGGUUCACAAAACCAAGUCAUAAAAAUAAUUAGCUGCCAUAUUUGAUGCUUAUUAUAUGUAUAUAUGCAUGUGUGAAAAUUUCAUGUUUGAAUUUUGUCAAUUGUAAGUGAAUUUUAUCAAAUAAGACUUAUGUGAGAAAAUUUAGAAAUGUGCUAGGCAAAUGUGAAAUGGCCUAUUAAUGCAUGUUGUGAAAAUGAUGGGUUUGCAUGUCAAUUUACCCAAAUUUAAGCUUAGUGGCCGGCCAUGCUAUGAGUGGAAACAUGUCACAAACAUGUUAUGUUAGUGAUGUAUGUUAGGAAAAAUAAAAUAAGGAGUAUGGGUAAUAAAGAAAUGGAAAAAAAAGGAAAGAAUGUGUGUGAUUGUCUCCCCCCCAUUGCCGUGAGUGGAAGAAAAGAAAACAAAAAAAAAGUGUUCAUCCUUUGGUUCAUCCUUGGCCGAAAAUUCUAAGGAAGAAGGAAGGAGUUCUUGCUUCAUGUUUGGUUUGGAAGAGGAUUAGGAGGAGGUUCGGCCAUACUUGUAUCUAGAUUAAGGUAUGUUGAUGUUGUGCCAUGAGAUUCAUGCAUGUUUUUAGUUGCUAGCUUGAGUUCUAAUUAGCCAUGGUUCAAAUCUUUGCUAUGUCAUGGGGAUGAUAUUCGGCCAAGGUGGAUUUUGUGUUAAUGUCAUUGCAUGCUAAAUGUGAAGCUUGUUAAUGAUAAAUGUGAUGGUGGAUUGAUUAACUCUUGGAUUUUCUUUUUAGCAUUUUUGAGUGAGACAUUAAGUUCUUUGUUUAACCAUGAUCAAAAUUGAAAUGGUAAGGUGUUGUGAUGUAUUCGGCCAUGGUAUAUCCAUAAGUAUGAUUUAUGCUUAUUGCAUGGUAGGUAAGAUUUGUGUUUUGGAUUUAUGUUUAUGUUUGGUUAUAAUCAACCUUGUGAUUCGGCUCUUACACACAUAUAUAUAUAUGUUUGCACAUGAUGUAUUGGCAUGACAUAUAUAAUAUCUCAAGGUAUAUAUUUUCAUAUGAUGGUGUUUCGGUUAUGGAGUAAAUGAUGGAUGCGUAUUGAGUUAUAAUAUGUAAUGCAUUAGUUAGUAAAAUGUAUGCCAUUUGUGUAUGGUAUUAAGUAUAUAAUUGGCCUCAACAUAAACAUGCAUAUUCGGCCACAUGAAUGAGUACAUAGGUUGAUGUGUUUGUUCGGCCAUAGGUAAGCAUAUUGAAGGAUUUAUCUUGACUUAGAACAUUCGGCUAAGGAGAAUACUAACUAAUGUGUUGAGUUUGAUUCAUGAUUCCGUACAUAUGUGACUUUGAUGUCUAAUGAAUUAUAUAUGGGCUAAGUACCUUGAGUUCCUCUUUUCGAUGCUCAAAUGAUUAAAUCAAUUUAUUUGUUAAAUUAAGCUCAAGAGCAAAGGGGAACUAAAUCCGAUAAAGGGAAGGAAAAAGUGGUUGAAUAGCCAUCGAAAUCGUUCGACAACAUCCGAGGUAAGUUUUCGAGUAAUGGAACUUAGAUUAUGAUUUGAAUAGAUCAUAUUUUAAGCGAAUCAAAAUCAUGCUCUUUGUAUGUGGCUAUUGAGCCGAAAUUGC
RNAcentral lists this long non-coding RNA (11934 nucleotides) under Gossypium barbadense (sea-island cotton). RNAcentral's name for it is "long non-coding RNA (GBAR_LNC000695)". Lineage: Eukaryota; Viridiplantae; Streptophyta; Magnoliopsida; Malvales; Malvaceae. The record is from RNAcentral.